Molecule: ribosomal RNA, 686 nt
Filed under: uncultured bacterium
Lineage: Bacteria
Description: bacterial SSU rRNA
Rfam family: Bacterial small subunit ribosomal RNA
Source: RNAcentral
CAUGCAAGUCGAGCGAGAAAGUGACUUCGGUUGCGAGUAAAGCGGCGAACGGGUGAGUACAACGUGGAUAAUCUACCCUAGGGUCUGGGACAACCCCGAGAAAUCGGAGCUAAUACCGGAUGAGACCACAGUAUCCAAGGAUACAGUGGUAAAAGAUUUAUCGCCUUUGGAUGAGUCCACGUCCCAUCAGGUAGUUGGUAAGGUAAAAGCUUACCAAGCCUAAGACGGGUAGCCGGCCUUAGCGGGUGAACGGCCACAUGGGGACUGAGACACGGCCCUGACUCCUACGGGAGGCAGCAGUGGGGAAUAUUGGGCAAUGGGCGAAAGCCUGACCCAGCGAUGCCGCGUGAGGGAUGAAGGCCUUCGGGUUGUAAACCUCUGUCAGGAGGGACGAUGGGACACUUGUGUCUUGACGGUACCUCCAGAGGAAGCCCCGGCUAACUCCGUGCCAGCAGCCGCGGUAAUACGGAGGGGGCAAGCGUUGCUCGGAAUUACUGGGCGUAAAGGGUCCGCAGGCUGUCAGGCAAGUUGGUUGUGAAAGCUCAAGGCUUAACCUUGGAAUUGCAUCCAAAACUGCCUGACUAGAGUCCAAGAGAGGUUGGCGGAAUUCCCGGUGUAGCGGUGAAAUGCAUAGAUAUCGGGAGGAACACCAGAGGCGAAGGCGGCCAACUGGCUUGGAACUGACG